This 507-nucleotide long non-coding RNA is filed under the name Elaeis guineensis (African oil palm). Its description in RNAcentral is "long non-coding RNA (EGUI_LNC009973)". Lineage: Eukaryota; Viridiplantae; Streptophyta; Magnoliopsida; Arecales; Arecaceae. The record is from RNAcentral.
AACGUGACCAACUCCAGAGUAUUCUACUGUCGAGAAUGUCUCUGAUGGGAUAUAGGUAUAAGUGUCCCUUAGACUUGAGAUCGCCUCAGUGACUUGCAAGCAACUCACUGUGCUUUGGUACUGGACUAACUGAAUUUUUAAUUCAGGGACGGAAGGCUUCUGGGCACAGUCAAGUACUUGUGAAGUCAGAGUGUGAUCGAGAUGGGAUUGACCACUCCAAGAGUUGGAGAAGAAUGAGUCGCUGUAUUUUAAUUUAGCAAAACCUUGGCCAGGGUAAUCCAUCAGAUGGAUUUGAUAUUUUGAAAUACAAUAUGGACAACCUGAUCAAAGUUGACAGUUAAACUCUGAGGUGUCCUAUGAUCAUUUUGGUCAAGGGGAUGAAUUAUAUGAAAACUAUAUCUGCAUGGGUUCUAAGGAUGUUGUUCUAUACAUUCGACCUAUCCGAUCGUCGGGUACCAUUGCUAGACGGUCACUUCGAUUGGUACAAAAAUUUAUUCCUGUGCUACC